This 465-nucleotide ribosomal RNA is filed under the name Vreelandella stevensii. RNAcentral describes it as "partial 16S ribosomal RNA". It matches the Rfam family "Bacterial small subunit ribosomal RNA", at positions 338 to 795 of the family's 1533-position model. Lineage: Bacteria; Pseudomonadati; Pseudomonadota; Gammaproteobacteria; Oceanospirillales; Halomonadaceae. The record is from RNAcentral.
CCUACGGGAGGCUGCAGUGGGGAAUAUUGGACAAUGGGGGGAACCCUGAUCCAGCCAUGCCGCGUGUGUGAAGAAGGCCCUCGGGUUGUAAAGCACUUUCAGUGAGGAAGAACGCCUGGUGGUUAAUAUCCAUCAGGAAAGACAUCACUCACAGAAGAAGCACCGGCUAACUCCGUGCCAGCAGCCGCGGUAAUACGGAGGGUGCGAGCGUUAAUCGGAAUUACUGGGCGUAAAGCGCGCGUAGGUGGCUUGAUAAGCCGGUUGUGAAAGCCCCGGGCUCAACCUGGGAACGGCAUCCGGAACUGUCAAGCUAGAGUGCAGGAGAGGAAGGUAGAAUUCCCGGUGUAGCGGUGAAAUGCGUAGAGAUCGGGAGGAAUACCAGUGGCGAAGGCGGCCUUCUGGACUGACACUGACACUGAGGUGCGAAAGCGUGGGUAGCAAACAGGAUUAGAUACCCCUGUAGUC